Molecule: ribosomal RNA, 492 nt
Filed under: uncultured bacterium
Lineage: Bacteria
Description: partial 16S ribosomal RNA
Rfam family: Bacterial small subunit ribosomal RNA
Source: RNAcentral
AGUGAACGCUGGCGGUAGGCCUAACACAUGCAAGUCGAACGGCAGCACAGUAAGAGCUUGCUCUUACGGGUGGCGAGUGGCGGACGGGUGAGGAAUACAUCGGAAUCUACUUUUUCGUGGGGGAUAACGUAGGGAAACUUACGCUAAUACCGCAUACGACCUACGGGUGAAAGCAGGGGUUCUUCGGACCUUGCGCGAUUGAAUGAGCCGAUGUCGGAUUAGCUAGUUGGCGGGGUAAAGGCCCACCAAGGCGACGAUCCGUAGCUGGUCUGAGAGGAUGAUCAGCCACACUGGAACUGAGACACGGUCCAGACUCCUACGGGAGGCAGCAGUGGGGAAUAUUGGACAAUGGGCGCAUGCCUGAUCCAGCCAUACCGCGUGGGUCAAGAAGGCCUUCGGGUUGUAAAGCCCUUUUGUUGGGAAAGAAAAGCAGCAGGUUAAUACCCCGCUGUUCUGACGGUACCCAAAGAAUAAGCACCGGCUAACUUCGUG